Molecule: non-coding RNA, 110 nt
Filed under: Nosocomiicoccus ampullae
Lineage: Bacteria; Bacillati; Bacillota; Bacilli; Caryophanales; Staphylococcaceae
Also listed under: 1 other name
Description: SAM riboswitch (S box leader)
Rfam family: SAM riboswitch aptamer (S box leader)
About the family: The SAM riboswitch is found upstream of a number of genes which code for proteins involved in methionine or cysteine biosynthesis in Gram-positive bacteria. The SAM riboswitch acts at the level of transcription termination control.
Source: RNAcentral
UCUUAUCAAGAGUCGGUGGAGGGAAUACCCCCUGUGAAGCCCAGCAACCCCUUCUAACGUAGAAGAAUGGUGCUAAAGGUUGCAGAAAUAAUGAUUUCUGAACGAUAAGA